RNAcentral lists this microRNA (22 nucleotides) under Cordylochernes scorpioides. The record is from RNAcentral. Lineage: Eukaryota; Metazoa; Arthropoda; Arachnida; Pseudoscorpiones; Chernetidae.
UAAUGAGGUGUUGAGAUAGAGG